AUGGACAAGGGCAAGAUAUUCGUGAACACCUUCAUGCAGAUCUUCGGCAGCUGGUCUCUUGAGGGGGUCACCGACACGUCCAGCACCAAAGCCAUUUUCAACUCCAGGGUCGGCUUCACUCUGGCGUGGGCCUCACACAAAGCCCAGGGUGCUACCCUGGAGGCCAAGUAUGAAUCCUUCGUGGCCAUGUUCGACAAGUCGCUCUGCAUCAUCGUCGGCAUCCUGAAGGUCCACUCCGGUGAGGAAGUCAAGGGGCCGAUCCCUGCCGGCGAGCUCAAGGCCAUCGACCAGAUCGACGCCGCCUUCAGCACUACAGCCACCACUGCCGAUGCUGCCCCGAUAAAGGACAGGUCCACUGUCUUCGACUCUGCCUUCAGCAAGGCCAUCAAGGAGACCACUGGUGAUGCAUACGAGGCCUACAAGUUUGUCCCUGCCCUCGAGUCCGCCGUCAAGAAGAGCUACACCACGUUUCUUCCCAGGAAUCCCCAGGACAAGCGUACGCUCAUUGAGUCAUUCCUGAGCGACACCAUCAUCUCCAUGGUUGUCCCCGCCCCCGCCACUCCCACCGCCGCCGCCGCUGCCGGUGGCUACAAUGUCUGA
Molecule: ribosomal RNA, 600 nt
Filed under: Triticum aestivum (bread wheat)
Lineage: Eukaryota; Viridiplantae; Streptophyta; Magnoliopsida; Poales; Poaceae
Description: partial small subunit ribosomal RNA
Source: RNAcentral